This 484-nucleotide ribosomal RNA is filed under the name uncultured bacterium. Its description in RNAcentral is "partial 16S ribosomal RNA". It matches the Rfam family "Bacterial small subunit ribosomal RNA", at positions 28 to 507 of the family's 1533-position model. The record is from RNAcentral.
AUUGAACGCUGGCGGCAUGCUUUACACAUGCAAGUCGAACGGCAGCGCGGGCUUCGGCCUGGCGGCGAGUGGCGAACGGGUGAGUAAUGCAUCGGAACGUGCCCAGUAGUGGGGGAUAGCCCGGCGAAAGCCGGAUUAAUACCGCAUACGACCUGAGGGUGAAAGCGGGGGACCGAAAGGCCUCGCGCUAUUGGAGCGGCCGAUGUCGGAUUAGCUAGUUGGUGGGGUAAAGGCUUACCAAGGCGACGAUCCGUAGCUGGUCUGAGAAGACGACCAGCCACACUGGGACUGAGACACGGCCCAGACUCCUACGGGAGGCAGCAGUGGGGAAUUUUGGACAAUGGGGGCAACCCUGAUCCGGCCGUGCCGCGUGCGGGAAGAAGGCCUUCGGGUUGUAAACCGCUUUUGUUCGGGAAGAAAUCCUCUGGGCUAAUACCCCGGGGGGAUGACGGUACCGGAAGAAUAAGCACCGGCUAACUACGUG